This 301-nucleotide ribosomal RNA is filed under the name uncultured bacterium. RNAcentral describes it as "partial 16S ribosomal RNA". It matches the Rfam family "Bacterial small subunit ribosomal RNA", at positions 509 to 807 of the family's 1533-position model. The record is from RNAcentral.
CAGUCGCCGCGGGAAUACGUAGGGUGCGAGCGUUAAUCGGAAUUACUGGGCGUAAAGCGUGCGCAGGCGGUUAUAUAAGACAGAUGUGAAAUCCCCGGGCUCAACCUGGGACCUGCAUUUGUGACUGUAUAGCUAGAGUACGGUAGAGGGGGAUGGAAUUCCGCGUGUAGCAGUGAAACGCGUAGAUAUGCGGAGGAACACCGAUGGCGAAGGCAAUCCCCUGGACCUGUACUGACGCUCAUGCACGAAAGCGUGGGGAGCAAACAGGAUUAGAUACCCCUGUAGUCCCUGUCUCUUAUAC